This 404-nucleotide ribosomal RNA is filed under the name uncultured bacterium. Its description in RNAcentral is "bacterial SSU rRNA". It matches the Rfam family "Bacterial small subunit ribosomal RNA", at positions 355 to 776 of the family's 1533-position model. The record is from RNAcentral.
UGGGGAAUAUUGCACAAUGGGCGAAAGCCUGAUGCAGCGACGCCGCGUGAGGGAAGAAGGUUUUCGGAUUGUAAACCUCUGUCUUCGGGGACGAUAAUGACGGUACCCGAGGAGGAAGCCACGGCUAACUACGUGCCAGCAGCCGCGGUAAAACGUAGGUGGCAAGCGUUGUCCGGAAUUACUGGGUGUAAAGGGAGCGCAGGCGGGCUGGUAAGUUGAAUGUGAAAACCAUAGGCUCAACCUAUGGAUUGCGUUCAAAACUACUGGUCUUGAGUGAUGGAGAGGCAGGCGGAAUUCCCGGUGUAGCGGUGGAAUGCGUAGAUAUCGGGAGGAACACCAGUGGCGAAGGCGGCCUGCUGGACAUUAACUGACGCUGAGGCUCGAAAGUAUGGGGAGCAAACAGG